GGCUCAGGACGAACGCUGGCGGCGUGCCUAAUACAUGCAAGUCGAACGGUCUUUCUAUGGAAGCUUGCUUCCACUGAGAAGAUAGUGGCGAACGGGUGAGUAACACGUGGGUAACCUGCCCAUAAGAGGGGGAUAACAUCCGGAAACGGGUGCUAAUACCGCAUAGUUUUCUUGAUCGCAUGAUCGGGAAAGGAAAGACGGCCUUUGUGCUGUCGCUUAUGGAUGGACCCGCGGCGUAUUAGUUAGUUGGUGAGGUAACGGCUCACCAAGACGAUGAUACGUAGCCGACCUGAGAGGGUGAUCGGCCACAUUGGGACUGAGACACGGCCCAAACUCCUACGGGAGGCAGCAGUAGGGAAUCUUCCGCAAUGGACGAAAGUCUGACGGAGCAACGCCGCGUGAGUGAAGAAAGGUUUUCGGAUCGUAAAACUCUGUUGUCAGAGAAGAACAAGUUGGAGAGUAACUGCUCCAGCCUUGACGGUAUCUGACCAGAAAGCCACGGCUAACUACGUGCCAGCCGCAGC
Molecule: ribosomal RNA, 524 nt
Filed under: uncultured bacterium
Lineage: Bacteria
Description: bacterial SSU rRNA
Rfam family: Bacterial small subunit ribosomal RNA
Source: RNAcentral